RNAcentral lists this ribosomal RNA (405 nucleotides) under uncultured bacterium. RNAcentral describes it as "partial 16S ribosomal RNA". It matches the Rfam family "Bacterial small subunit ribosomal RNA", at positions 30 to 526 of the family's 1533-position model. The record is from RNAcentral.
AUUGAACGCUGGCGGCAGGCCUAACACAUGCAAGUCGAACGAGUGGCGGACGGGUGAGUAAUAUAUCGGAACGUGCCCAGUAGCGGGGGAUAACUACUCGAAAGAGUGGCUACUACCGCAUACUAUUGGAGCGGCCGAUAUCGGAUUGGCUAGUUGGUGGGGUAAAGGCCCACCAAGGCAACGAUCCGUACCUGGUUUGAGAGGACGACCAGCAGAACUGGGACUGAGACCCGGCCCAGACUCCUACGGGAGGCAGCAGUGGGGAAUUUUGGACAAUGGGGGAAACCCGGAUCCAGCCAUCCCGCGUGUAUGAGAAGGCCUUCGGGUUGUAAAGUACUUUGGGCAGAGAAGCGGUAUCUGCAGAAUAAGCACCGGCUAACUACGUGCCAGCAGCCGCGGUAAUUC